UCCCAAUGGCAUGGAGAAGAUGACCAGCCACCCAAGGAAAGAUACAUGUCUCAUGGAGGAGGAAAAGGUUAGCUUCACAUUCCUAUCCAGAAUAACCUCCUUUUCUGUGACCAUGAUCAAAAGGUGCAACUUGUCUAACUUUUUACCACUGCUUACCUACUUCAUCUUCUCUUCUCCAUCCUUUUACUGACUUGUUUGAUCAAAGAACUCAAAAGAGGAAAAAGCUUCAUAGUUUUCUUUUAGUUAUUAUUAGAAAAGCUUCAUAGUUAUCAUUACAGGAUGUCCAAGUCAAGUGGGAACACAUGAGGGGUAUACUUUUUUGUGCUUCUGGUGAAGCCAGAGGUAAAGGACAAGCUAGCUGUCUGUCCUGACCACAGAGAGAGAGAGAGAGAGAGAGAGAGCAAGAGAGAUGAUGAAAAUUAUAAUGUGCCUUAGUCUAGAUGAAAACAUUGAAGUUGGAUUAACUUUAAAGCAAUCAAGGUUGCUUUAGCAUAAAGAUAAUAUAAUCUACCAAACCAGAUGAACAAUCCUUUCUUGUUUCUCUUAUAACCCAAAAGAAGAAGAAGAAGAGGAAGACAAAUUAUGAUUAGUGUACCAGUAAUUGUUCCAGAACAAAUGGAGAUGCAGCACAUUUCCAAAAGAAGCAUUAUUUUAGUUUCAGAAUCCUACCAAGAUCACAUAUGCAAUGUGUUCAUUGCCAAUAGAACAAUUCAAAAGAGAAGACUUUGAUUUGUGGAGGAGAAGAAGCUCCAAGUUUGUCUUAUUCUGCACUAUAUGAUAGUGCCUGUUGCUUUCUCUUGAUCUUUAAUUUGCUUCUAGCAUUGUCUUCUUAAUGUAUUAUUGGGGUGAUAAUUAGAAAGCUUUCCAGUGUUGCCUCAAUAAUUAAAGAUAGCAUGACCAGAUUAACUAAAAUUUUCAAGGGACUUUUCUUUUGUGUUUGUGAUGAUCAAAUACUGUUUACAGUUUGUGUAUAGUUCUUCAACCAAGAUUAGCCAGUAUUAUUUGCAGAUUAUGUUUCAAUCUUGAUAGGAAAGAUAAAUAUAAUGAUCUGAGAUGGAGUUAUCCAAGAAUUAUGGACAAGGUAUGGCUUCAUUUUUCACUGGAUAUGCUAAAAUCUCUUUCUGCUAAUUGUCUUUGAUGAUGUCUCUUACCAACCUCUCCAAACCAUCAUAUUUAUUGAGAUGAAAUAGACAGCAAAAGAUCUACCUGAUGCCUAUGGUUUCUACCAACUGCAGCCUGCUUUGGAUUCUCUGCCAAAUCGUGUAGGUUGACUGGAAAUAGUUCCUGCACUGCUGUUCUUGGUGUGGGCCUUUUCAGAGUGCUCAGGAGCUUAAUGAAUGCAGGAUUGGAGUAGUAAUCAUAACAAAUGCAAACAGAAGCAGGUAUUUGGCAUAAGGUUUCAGGAUUGAGACACAAACAUUGGCCAAGUUCCAAGAAAAAAAACAACAAGAUCUGAAAUGCAUAUUGCUGACUACAGAUUUUUCCUCCAAACAUAGAGUACAGUUGAUCUUCUCCAAAAUUUACAGUUUCUGAAAGCUUUUACAAAGAGUUAUAUCUGAUCUCUUGAUUUUGCUAACAUAAUUUUCUCCUCCAGUAUCAUUUUCAGAAUCAUAGUCAUGAUAAUAAAAAGCAAGCUAAAUAGAUUUGGUUAUCCUCUUUAGGAAACACAGAGCUUUCAUGAACUCUGAAUCCAACUUUG
This 1699-nucleotide long non-coding RNA is filed under the name Musa acuminata (dwarf banana). RNAcentral's name for it is "long non-coding RNA (MACU_LNC004130)". The record is from RNAcentral. Lineage: Eukaryota; Viridiplantae; Streptophyta; Magnoliopsida; Zingiberales; Musaceae.